AGUGAACGCUGGCGGUAGGCCUAACACAUGCAAGUCGAACGGCAGCACAGUAAGAGCUUGCUCUUACGGGUGGCGAGUGGCGGACGGGUGAGGAAUACAUCGGACUCUACUUUUUCGUGGGGGAUAACGUAGGGAAACUUACGCUAAUACCGCAUACGACCUACGGGUGAAAGCAGGGGAUCUUCUGACCUUGCGCGAUUGAAUGAGCCGAUGUCGGAUUAGCUAGUUGGCGGGGUAAAGGCCCACCAAGGCGACGAUCCGUAGCUGGUCUGAGAGGAUGAUCAGCCACACUGGAACUGAGCCACGGUCCAGACUCCUACGGGAGGAAGCAGUGGGGAAUAUUGGACAAUGGGCGCAAGCCUGAUCCAGCCAUACCGCGUGGGAGAAGAAGGCCUUCGGGUUGUAAAGCCCUUUUGUUGGGAAAGAAAAGCAGCAGGUUAAUACCCCGCUGUUCUGACGGUACCCAAAGAAUAAGCACCGGCUAACUUCGUG
RNAcentral lists this ribosomal RNA (492 nucleotides) under uncultured bacterium. RNAcentral's name for it is "partial 16S ribosomal RNA". It matches the Rfam family "Bacterial small subunit ribosomal RNA", at positions 29 to 507 of the family's 1533-position model. The record is from RNAcentral.